This is a non-coding RNA of Listeria ivanovii subsp. ivanovii, 119 nucleotides long. The record is from Rfam. NCBI's taxonomy places the organism in Bacteria, Bacillati, Bacillota, Bacilli, Caryophanales, Listeriaceae.
AUAUUAAAAGUUUGAGUCACUUAUAGUUUCCUACUGCGAAAACAUAUAAUUUAGUUCCCACCCAUACUAAAAUUGUGUCCUUAACUCUCUAUUAAUUUGGCUAUACGUGGCUUAAUCUU